RNAcentral lists this ribosomal RNA (1263 nucleotides) under Halorubrum sp. RNAcentral describes it as "bacterial SSU rRNA". It matches the Rfam family "Archaeal small subunit ribosomal RNA", at positions 101 to 1360 of the family's 1478-position model. Lineage: Archaea; Methanobacteriati; Methanobacteriota; Halobacteria; Halobacteriales; Haloferacaceae. The record is from RNAcentral.
UGGCCAAACUACCCUUCGGAGCACGAUACCCUCGGGAAACUGAGGCUAAUAGUGCAUGCCACACUCACUCUGGAAUGACGAGUGUGUCAAACGCUCCGGCGCCGAAGGACGUGGCUGCGGCCGAUUAGGUAGACGGUGGGGUAACGGCCCACCGUGCCGAUAAUCGGUACGGGUGGUGAGAGCCAGAACCCGGAGACGGAAUCUGAGACAAGAUUCCGGGCCCUACGGGGCGCAGCAGGCGCGAAACCUUUACACUGCACGACAGUGCGAUAAGGGGAUCCCAAGUGCGUAGGCAUAGAGCCUACGCUUUUGUACACCGUAGGGAGGUGUACGAAUAAGGGCUGGGCAAGACCGGUGCCAGCCGCCGCGGUAAUACCGGCAGCCCGAGUGAUGGCCGAUUUUAUUGGGCCUAAAGCGUCCGUAGCUGGCCGCACAAGUCCAUCGGGAAAUCCACCCGCUCAACGGGUGGACGUCCGGUGGAAACUGUGUGGCUUGGGACCGGAAGGCGCGACGGGUACGUCCGGGGUAGGAGUGAAAUCCCGUAAUCCUGGACGGACCGCCGAUGGCGAAAGCACGUCGCGAGAACGGAUCCGACAGUGAGGGACGAAAGCUAGGGUCUCGAACCGGAUUAGAUACCCGGGUAGUCCUAGCCGUAAACGAUGCCUGUUAGGUGUGGCUCCCACUACGAGUGGGUGCUGUGCCGUAGGGAAGCCGCUAAACAGGCCGCCUGGGAAGUACGUCCGCAAGGAUGAAACUUAAAGGGAAUUGGCGGGGGAGCACUACAACCGGAGGAGCCUGCGGUUUAAUUGGACUCAACGCCGGACAUCUCACCAGCAUCGACUGUAGUAAUGACGGUCAGGUUGAUGACCUUACCACGAGCUACAGAGAGGAGGUGCAUGGCCGCCGUCAGCUCGUACCGUGAGGCGUCCUGUUAAGUCAGGCAACGAGCGAGACCCGCAUCCUUACUUGCCAGCAACACUGCGAAGUGGUUGGGGACAGUAGGGAGACCGCCGUGGCCAACACGGAGGAAGGAACGGGCAACGGUAGGUCAGUAUGCCCCGAAUGUGCUGGGCAACACGCGGGCUACAAUGGUCGAGACAGAGGGUUCCUACUCCGAAAGGAGACGGUAAUCUCAGAAACUCGAUCGUAGUUCGGAUUGUGGGCUGAAACUCGCCCACAUGAAGCUGGAUUCGGUAGUAAUCGCGUGUCAGCAGCGCGCGGUGAAUACGUCCCUGCUCCUUGCACACACCGCCCGUCAAAGCA